GGGGGCGCAUAGGCUUCGACGGGAGUGGUCAGCGUCCUGUGAGACGAGCCGAGUUUGCUGGAGACUCGUAAAACGCCGGCAGCAAAAGAUACACGCCAACAGCAAUGAUAUGGCUCUGGCUGCUUAACUAAAAAGUAGCCCAUCGGUCCGGGCGGCCCACGGCCCGGUUCCCGGUGUCAUUGAGUGGGCUCACCCUCAGUGUUCUGGCCCGGAGCAUCGAGGGGACAUUCAACGGGCUAGGCCUCUCGGCGGCGCCCCGGUCCGUCGCAGCAGGCGAAGCUAAACCGGGAGCUAUGCUCGUAGAAUCUCACGGACGGCGCGCUCGCGGACGCGGGUUCGAAUCCCGCCGCCUCCACUG
This 358-nucleotide transfer-messenger RNA is filed under the name Rubrobacteraceae bacterium. It matches the Rfam family "transfer-messenger RNA". From Rfam's summary of the family: Bacterial tmRNA, also known as 10Sa RNA or SsrA, is named for its dual tRNA and mRNA-like properties. Its role is to liberate the mRNA from a stalled ribosome. To accomplish this part of the tmRNA is used as a reading frame that ends in a translation stop signal. RNAcentral also lists the same sequence under 1 other name. The record is from RNAcentral. Lineage: Bacteria; Bacillati; Actinomycetota; Rubrobacteria; Rubrobacterales; Rubrobacteraceae.